UGGACUAGCUAGAAUAUUAAAUCACGACAC
This 30-nucleotide non-coding RNA is filed under the name Mus musculus (house mouse). The record is from RNAcentral. Lineage: Eukaryota; Metazoa; Chordata; Mammalia; Rodentia; Muridae.